GACAGAGGUUGCAAACGUUGUUCGGAAUCACUGGGCAUAAAGCGCACGUAGGCGGUCUGUUAAGUCAGGUGUGAAAGCCCCCGGCUCAACCGGGGAACAGCAUCUGAUACUGGCAGACUCGAGGAUGGUAGGGGUGAGUGGAACUCCAGGUGGAGCGGUGAAAUGCGUAGAUAUCUGGAGGAACACCAGUGGCGAAAGCAGCUCGCUGGACCAUAACUGACGCUGAGGUGCGAAAGCUAGGGUAGCAAACGGG
RNAcentral lists this ribosomal RNA (253 nucleotides) under uncultured bacterium. Its description in RNAcentral is "partial 16S ribosomal RNA". It matches the Rfam family "Bacterial small subunit ribosomal RNA", at positions 524 to 776 of the family's 1533-position model. The record is from RNAcentral.